AUGGCCUGGAUUUUGUCCAAAGC
Molecule: microRNA, 23 nt
Filed under: Brugia malayi
Lineage: Eukaryota; Metazoa; Nematoda; Chromadorea; Rhabditida; Onchocercidae
Also listed under: 1 other name
Description: bma-miR-5841-5p
Source: miRBase by way of RNAcentral